UCGAACGGCAGCGGGGGAGAAGCUUGCUUCUCCUGCCGGCGAGUGGCGAACGGGUGAGUAAUACAUCGGAACGUGCCCUGUAGUGGGGGAUAACUAGUCGAAAGAUUAGCUAAUACCGCAUACGACCUGAGGGUGAAAGUGGGGGACCGCAAGGCCUCAUGCUAUAGGAGCGGCCGAUGUCUGAUUAGCUAGUUGGUGGGGUAAAGGCCCACCAAGGCGACGAUCAGUAGCUGGUCUGAGAGGACGAUCAGCCACACUGGGACUGAGACACGGCCCAGACUCCUACGGGAGGCAGCAGUGGGGAAUUUUGGACAAUGGGCGAAAGCCUGAUCCAGCAAUGCCGCGUGUGUGAAGAAGGCCUUCGGGUUGUAAAGCACUUUUGUCCGGAAAGAAAUGGCUCUGGUUAAUACCUGGAGUCGAUGACGGUACCGGAAGAAUAAGGACCGGCUAACUACGUGCCAGCAGCCGCGGUAAUACGUAGGGUCCAAGCGUUAAUCGGAAUUACUGGGCGUAAAGCGUGCGCAGGCGGUUGUGCAAGACCGAUGUGAAAUCCCCGAGCUUAACUUGGGAAUUGCAUUGGUGACUGCACGGCUAGAGUGUGUCAGAGGGGGGUAGAAUUCCACGUGUAGCAGUGAAAUGCGUAGAGAUGUGGAGGAAUACCGAUGGCGAAGGCAGCCCCCUGGGAUAACACUGACGCUCAUGCACGAAAGCGUGGGGAGCAAACAGGAUUAGAUACCCUGGUAGUCCACGCCCUAAACGAUGUCAACUAGUUGUUGGGGAUUCAUUUCCUUAGUAACGUAGCUAACGCGUGAAGUUGACCGCCUGGGGAGUACGGUCGCAAGAUUAAAACUCAAAGGAAUUGACGGGGACCCGCACAAGCGGUGGAUGAUGUGGAUUAAUUCGAUGCAACGCGAAAAACCU
Molecule: ribosomal RNA, 921 nt
Filed under: Ralstonia sp. 6HR-9
Lineage: Bacteria; Pseudomonadati; Pseudomonadota; Betaproteobacteria; Burkholderiales; Burkholderiaceae
Description: bacterial SSU rRNA
Rfam family: Bacterial small subunit ribosomal RNA
Source: RNAcentral